Molecule: long non-coding RNA, 1421 nt
Organism: Cephus cinctus (wheat stem sawfly)
Lineage: Eukaryota; Metazoa; Arthropoda; Insecta; Hymenoptera; Cephidae
Exons: 3
Source: RefSeq, a predicted model, not a curated record
AAGAAGGCGCUUCGAGUAGUUGGAUACAAUAAUAUACGUUAAGCAAACCGUUAUACGUUACGUCACGAUGGGUACGCAUAUUCUGAGGUUACAUUUAACAUUUGUUUCAAGCUCAAUUUUCGCCGGUAUCGUUUAGGGAUUUUUCGCACUUUCUAGUGACCUUCUUAGCAACGUAAUUAUUAUAUGUAUGUGUAAAUGGGAAAUGAGGCAUUUUUCCAGUAUGCACAAGGAUUCAAGAGAAAACGAAUUCCAAGAUCGGUAUGUACUCUUUAGAUAGAAUUCCAUGCAGUGUUAUGGUUCAAUGGCACAGAAGGCUAAGAGGAUACGAAUCGAAGACUGGAGGAAGUGACGUAUGGAAUGUGAAUCAAAAGACGCAUUUCCAUAAGGAGAGUAGUAGGAUCCGAGAGUAAUGGCUGUGACACAGUGGUAAACGAGUAUCUCCGUUAUAACGAACAGAUCGACGUUGAAUAAAAGAGGCUGUUAAAUUCUCAUAGUUUCUUGCAGGGAAUUGCGAGAGGGAAAAUAAUAUGAGCUAAAUAAGGAGUACAGACAAGAAGGUAAUCUUGGUAAGAUGGCCACGCGAUAAUAGAAAGCGCAACUUCGAUCCACCAUAUUAAGAAUAAUUAAAGAACUGAUUAAUUAUCCAAUUGUGAAUCGACCUUUACUUACAACCAUGGAUAGCACUAAUAGGAAGAUCACUAUCGAUAAGCACCUUAAGGUCCUUGCAAGAAUUGUCAAAGACUCAUGCGUACUGGUUUUAUAAUGUACCAUGUUUAUAUAUUGUCUACUGAUUUAUUGAAUCAGGAACUGUAUUGGAACUAUCUAUUCCUGGUUCUCUUGGUGCUGAUUAUAGACUGCAAACAGAAAAAGAUGCCAACAAACUAUUAAUGAUAGACAAUAAGAUAAAUAAAGCUGCCACAAGAACAGUGCAAUGGAAAGUAUUGGCAAUGAAUGUGGCCAUUGAAAAUGCUAUCUGAAGUGAAUCACUCUGUAUACUGUAAUAAGUUUCUGCGCAGGGGUCAAAUGUUAAACCAAAGUCCCUGUACAAGAUACAAUUUUCUAUCACCUUUGUCCAAGAAUAAAUUUGUAACCUUACGGUAACACAAAGAGGAAUGCAUUGUCUUACUAUUAAAGGUACUGGAUACUGGAGGCUAUCAAUUGUUUCAGUCACUAUACUAUUGUUUCCAUAUAAAAUUGCUCUUGUCAAAAGUCUUGAGUGACCAACUGCUUAUGAAACAUCCUAUACUAUCAUAUACCGGGUUACUCAGACAAAACGCACCACCUAAAGAUUGCGUGCUUAUCCAUUUUAUUCAUAUGGCAAAACGCCGUUCGGAUGGUGCAAUUUGGCUUAAUAACUGGGUAUACAUAUAUUCUAGCACAAAUAUAGAUAGGUAUUGGAAUAUUAAUUCUAUUAUUAUAGA